Molecule: ribosomal RNA, 234 nt
Filed under: uncultured Candidatus Saccharibacteria bacterium
Lineage: Bacteria; Candidatus Saccharimonadota
Description: partial 16S ribosomal RNA
Rfam family: Bacterial small subunit ribosomal RNA
Source: RNAcentral
UAAGUGCGAUGUGAAAUCCAGGGGCUCAACCUCUGAACUGCAUCGCAAACUGGCACACUUGAGUAUAUGAGAGGUCGUUGGAAUUCCUAGUGUAGGAGUGAAAUCCGUAGAUAUUAGGAGGAACACCAAUGGCGAAGGCAGACGACUGGCAUAUUACUGACACUGAGGCACGAAAGCGUGGGAGCGAACGGGAUUAGAUACCCCGGUAGUCCACGCCGUAAACGAUGGAUACUA